GAUGAACGCUGGCGGCGUGCCUAAUACAUGCCAGUCGAGCGAACGGACGAGAAGCUUGCUUCUCUGAUGUUAGCGGCGGACGGGUGAGUAACACGUGGAUAACCUACCUAUAAGACUGGGAUAACUUCGGGAAACCGUAGCUAAUACCGGAUAAUAUUUUGAACCGCAUGGUUCAAAAGUGAAAGACGGUCUUGCUGUCACUUAUAGAUGGAUCCGCGCUGCAUUAGCUAGUUGGUAAGGUAACGGCUUACCAAGGCAACGAUGCAUAGCCGACCUGAGAGGGUGAUCGGCCACACUGGAACUGAGACACGGUCCAGACUCCUACGGGAGGCAGCAGUAGGGAAUCUUCCGCAAUGGGCGAAAGCCUGACGGAGCAACGACGCGUGAGUGAUGAAGGUCCUCGGAUCGUAAAACUCUGUUAUUAGGGAAGAACAUAUGUGUAAGUAACUGUGCACAUCUUGACGGUACCUAAUCAGAAAGCCACGGCUAACUACGUG
RNAcentral lists this ribosomal RNA (497 nucleotides) under uncultured bacterium. Its description in RNAcentral is "partial 16S ribosomal RNA". It matches the Rfam family "Bacterial small subunit ribosomal RNA", at positions 28 to 507 of the family's 1533-position model. The record is from RNAcentral.